Molecule: unclassified non-coding RNA, 326 nt
Filed under: Hevea brasiliensis (rubber tree)
Lineage: Eukaryota; Viridiplantae; Streptophyta; Magnoliopsida; Malpighiales; Euphorbiaceae
Source: RNAcentral
GAAAAACUAAAAUCUAACACAUCAGAUCUUAAAAAUUAGACCAAUUCGAUUCUAAACCGUUGACCACCGAAUUUUUCAUGAACAUCGAGUAAAUUCAAAACAAGAAAAGUAACAACAACAAAAAGCAACAAGAUUAUCACAACCAAAUUAGUUGAAGCAUCAAAUUCCCAAAACAAAACUAAACUGAAACUCCAAUAUUUUUUACAUUGAUGUAACAAAUUCACUGCAUAAACUUGAUCUGAAAAGAAUUUCUAGCAACCAUAAGCAAAUAAACAAAAUACCCAAUUGCAAACACAAACACAUAAAGACAUACAGAUUGAUUGAUU